CCUACGGGAGGCAGCAGUGGGGAAUCUUCCGCAAUGGGCGAAAGCCUGACGGAGCAACGCCGCGUGAUCGAAUGAAGGCCUUCGGGUUUUAAAGUUCUGUUGACAGGGACGAAUAAGCAAUGCGAAUGGUUUUGUGUAUGACGGUACCUGUUUAGCAAGCUCCGGCUACCUACGUGCCAGCAGCCGCGUUAAUACGUAGGGAGCCAGCGGUGUCCGGAAUUACUGGGCGUAAAGGGGGCGUGGGUGGGCGCUUCAGUCAGGUGUGAAAACUCCGGGCCCAACCUGGAGCCUGCAGUUGAAACUGGGUGUCUUGAGGGCAGGAGAGGAAAGUGGAAUUCCUAGUGUAGCGGUGAAAUGCGUAGAUAUUAGGAGGAACACCAGUGGCGAAGGCGACUUUCUGGACUGUACCUGACGCUGAGGCGCGAAAGCGUGGGUAGCGAACGGGAUUAGAUACCCGAGUAGUC
RNAcentral lists this ribosomal RNA (464 nucleotides) under uncultured bacterium. Its description in RNAcentral is "partial 16S ribosomal RNA". It matches the Rfam family "Bacterial small subunit ribosomal RNA", at positions 338 to 795 of the family's 1533-position model. The record is from RNAcentral.